RNAcentral lists this unclassified non-coding RNA (343 nucleotides) under uncultured fungus. RNAcentral's name for it is "sequence contains 5.8S rRNA gene, ITS2, 28S rRNA gene". The stretch from base 1 to 52 matches the Rfam family "5.8S ribosomal RNA", at positions 103 to 154 of the family's 154-position model. The record is from RNAcentral. Lineage: Eukaryota; Fungi.
AACGCACCUUGCGCUCUCUGGUAUUCCGGAGAGCAUGCUUGUUUGAGUGUCGCUAUAUUCUCAAUCUCCCUUCUAUCUUUCCUUACGGAAUAAUGGUGGGUUGAGAUUGGAUCCUGGCUGCUUGCCGUCGUAACUUGACAGCUCGGCCGAAAUCUAGACAAGUGAUGGCACCCCACCGUGUUGAUCGGCUUGAACUCGACGUUGUAAUUGCUUCCCUCGUUGAGCUACGAUUUGCGCGAUCCUCUUCUUCAGGGAAGAGAGAUAUAGGGACUCACUUUGAGAAACCUUUAUAGCAAUGAGCAAAAAUGGCCUCAAAUCAAGUAGGACUACCCGCUGAACUUAA